This 648-nucleotide unclassified non-coding RNA is filed under the name uncultured Prochlorococcus sp. RNAcentral describes it as "partial 16S-23S ribosomal RNA intergenic spacer; may also contain 16S ribosomal RNA and 23S ribosomal RNA". The stretch from base 305 to 377 matches the Rfam family "tRNA". Lineage: Bacteria; Bacillati; Cyanobacteriota; Cyanophyceae; Synechococcales; Prochlorococcaceae. The record is from RNAcentral.
UUGUGGAGGAGGACGCCGAAGGUGGGGCUAAUGACUGGGGUGAAGUCGUAACAAGGUAGCCGUACCGGAAGGUGCGGCUGGAUCACCUCCUAACAGGGAGACAACAAAAUGUUUAAUAUUAUUAUUUUGUCACCUUAGGUCGAUCGGUAUCUCACAUUCUUAAUUUAUUAAGGAUUUUAUUUCCUAAGUUUUUUCUAGGUCACACCCAUACUUUUCCUGGGCCAUUAGCUCAGGUGGUUAGAGCGCACCCCUGAUAAGGGUGAGGUCCCUGGUUCAAGUCCAGGAUGGCCCAUAUCUCUAUGUUGGGGGUAUAGCUCAGUUGGUAGAGCGCCUGCUUUGCAAGCAGGAUGUCAGCGGUUCGAGUCCGCUUACCUCCACUGAUUACCACCUCUUCCAUAUCGUGAAAGGAAUUGUUUUAGAUGUGACAUUUCUGGACGAAUCUAGCUUCCUAAUACUUAAAAGAAUUAUUAAGAUGCUGGACUCACUGAAUUUUAUUCAUUGUUUUCAGAGAACCUUGACAACUGCAUAGAUUAUUUUUAAAGACAAUAAGCAUCUUUAAUGAUGCAGAUUUAUUAUUUUUGCUAUUGCAUUAAUAACAAUUCUAUUGAGCUGAUGCUUCAAUUUUUGAAGUUAUUGGUCAAGCUACAA